GGAAAAAUCGUUAUCUCUCCCCAAAUCUCUCUCACAUCCAAACCACCCAUCCCUCUAUUUUAAAUCUCCAAAUUCAGUUUAUUUUCCUAUUCUACUCGUUCUCUGUAGCAAGAAAACCAAGACCUCUUCUUCACAACUUCAAUUCAAGAAAUCGAGAACCAAAUUCGUAAGAAGAGAGAGAGCUACCGGUUGUCUUUCGAAAUCUGUCCAAGGGAAUUGUUCCGUGAGACUCUAAUCCGGAAAGAGGAAAUACUCAAGUGCGACACCUUUAAGCAGUCGAGUCUUCAAUCUGCAGAAAAUAGAGAGAGAAGAAGAAGAAGAAGAAGAAGAAGAAGAAGAAGAAGAAGAAGAAGAAGAAGAAGAAGAAGAAGAAGAAGAAGAAGAAGAAGAAGAAGUGCCUCUCACUCCUCACGGUGCAAUCAUCAUCCAAGAAGCAUAAAUGUUAUAGCAGGCGUGGCCUCCCUAAAGCCUACUCUACAGCAUCAGCAACAAAACAACAUAUCUAUAGGAAUAAAUAUAUCAAGGGACAAAUUGCAAUGGGAAGUAAAUCUUGGAUAACAAAGUAUUAUUUCAUAACUUCAUUAAGACAAAAAUCAUGGGAAACUGAAGAGUGAAUCAAUCACAGCUUUGGAAGAAUGAAAAAAAUAGAUUAUUGUAAUAGAAUAGUGAUAUUUUAUACUAAGCCUAGAAGGCUAACAUAAAUAGGCUGCAACCCUAUAGUAAAAUUUACUGUCAUACGUGAACAUUCUCCAUUGAGGGAAUUUAUCUAUUCUAUUUAUUUUUAAAGCAGGAUUUACAAUUACUGUAAAA
Molecule: long non-coding RNA, 810 nt
Organism: Salvia splendens (bonfire salvia)
Lineage: Eukaryota; Viridiplantae; Streptophyta; Magnoliopsida; Lamiales; Lamiaceae
Exons: 5
Source: RefSeq, a predicted model, not a curated record